GGCAAGGUAGCUCAGUUGGUUAGAGCACGGCACUCAUAAUGCCGGGGUCGGCGGUUCGAAUCCGCCCCUUGCUACCA
This 77-nucleotide transfer RNA is filed under the name Vreelandella halophila. RNAcentral's name for it is "tRNA-Met". It matches the Rfam family "tRNA". Rfam says of the family: Transfer RNA (tRNA) molecules are approximately 80 nucleotides in length. Their secondary structure includes four short double-helical elements and three loops (D, anti-codon, and T loops). The record is from RNAcentral. RNAcentral also lists the same sequence under 6 other names. Lineage: Bacteria; Pseudomonadati; Pseudomonadota; Gammaproteobacteria; Oceanospirillales; Halomonadaceae.